RNAcentral lists this ribosomal RNA (253 nucleotides) under uncultured bacterium. RNAcentral's name for it is "partial 16S ribosomal RNA". It matches the Rfam family "Bacterial small subunit ribosomal RNA", at positions 524 to 776 of the family's 1533-position model. The record is from RNAcentral.
UACGUAGGGGGCAAGCGUUAUCCGGAAUUACUGGGUGUAAAGGGAGCGUAGACGGUAAUGUAAGUCUGGAGUGAAAGGCGGGGGCCCAACCCCCGGACUGCUCUGGAAACUAUGUUACUAGAGUGCAGGAGAGGUAAGCGGAAUUCCUAGUGUAGCGGUGAAAUGCGUAGAUAUUAGGAGGAACACCAGUGGCGAAGGCGGCCUACUGGACGGUGACUGACGCUGAGGCUCGAAAGCGUGGGGAGCAAACAGG